This 463-nucleotide ribosomal RNA is filed under the name uncultured bacterium. RNAcentral describes it as "bacterial SSU rRNA". It matches the Rfam family "Bacterial small subunit ribosomal RNA", at positions 29 to 506 of the family's 1533-position model. The record is from RNAcentral.
ACGAACGCUGGCGGCGUGCUUAACACAUGCAAGUCGAACGGUAAGGCCCCUUCGGGGGUACACGAGUGGCGAACGGGUGAGUAACACGUGAGCAACCUGCCCUUGACUCUGGAAUAACAGUUGGAAACAGCUGCUAAUACUGGAUAUGCACCGGGCCCCUCCUGGGGUGUGGUGGAAAGCUCCGGCGGUCAGGGAUGGGCUCGCGGCCUAUCAGCUUGUUGGUGAGGUAAUGGCUCACCAAGGCUUCGACGGGUAGCCGGCCUGAGAGGGCGACCGGCCACACUGGGACUGAGAUACGGCCCAGACUCCUACGGGAGGCAGCAGUGGGGAAUAUUGCACAAUGGGCGCAAGCCUGAUGCAGCAACGCCGCGUGCGGGAUGACGGCCUUCGGGUUGUAAACCGCUUUCAGUAGGGACGAAGGGUGACUGACGGUACCUACAGAAGAAGGACCGGCUAACUACGU